Vicugna pacos (alpaca) is the source of this 4006-nucleotide non-coding RNA. The record is from RefSeq and is a predicted model, not a curated record. Lineage: Eukaryota; Metazoa; Chordata; Mammalia; Artiodactyla; Camelidae.
CCUAAGGGGCUCAUUCCUGUGCUGGGUGGGAUUUGGGAGGAACCAACUGCUCCAAGAUACUAAGUUACAGUCUCCCUUGGGAUACCAAAAUCCUCUGAUGCUCAAGUCCCUUAUAUAAGAGGUUGUAGUAGAAUAGUCAGUUAUGCGUAUCCUUCGGUUUCACAUCCGCAGAUUCAAGCAGCCGUAGGUGGAUUGGUCAUAUCCACCAAUCUCUUGGUGGAAUCUGCAGAUGCGAAACCCAUGGAUACCGAGGGAGGUCCGACCCUAUUCAGUUUGAAGAAGCCUUUCCUGAACGCCGGACGGCUUGGACUCGUCAAAGACUGAGGACCAAGAGAGUGGCGCUCUGCAUUCUAGGCCUUCCGUUUGGAGGCCUUUUGUUUUGGUGAAAACCACGAUCCAUGGAAGUGAUUACUGAGCUUGGCUCCUUGAUGUGAAAGCUUUGGCAUCUAGACCAAUUGAAUACUCAGCAAACAGUCACUUUGGCAGAUUACAGAAGGGUCAGUUGAGAAGAGAGAGCUGAUGGAAGAAAUUUCAAGGUGGUGAAGUGGACAGGCAAGGCAGCGGACACUGUGAUGCAGGCCCGGAUGCCUCCUGAGUGAUGUUCCCUUGCUCCAGUUGCUGGGAGUGCCAUUGGCAGACAGCCGUGAACUGCCAGCCCCUCCAGGGACAGUCUCAGCAGCAGAGGGACCUUGACCACAUGCAGCAGCUGACGAGGAGCAGUCUCAGCGUCGUAAAUGUGCACCCUCUGCAGCCACGCAGAAGGGGCUAGGGCUUGGCUUCAUGUUCUGCUGUCGCCCUCUUGGAAAUCUUAAUUUUUAAACAGAGCCUUGCAUUUUCAGUUUGCCCUGGACCCUGCAGAUCAUGUAGCUGGUAUUGAUGAUGGUGGAUACAGGCCUUGCUGUCUAAGCCCGUUCAAGGCAACUCUCAGAAGUCCCCUCUAGCUUUCAAGCUCCUGAUGGAGCCAGCUCAGGCAGUUGUUAGGGCUGCUGUAGAGCUUGACUUCACACCUUCUGCUGCUUAAUCCUGGUGGGUUUCCCUUUCUUCUACAGGUGUUGGUCCCAGGGUCACUCCUUCAUGAACUUCUGGCCCACUGACCUCCACCUUAGGGUCUGCCUCCUGGUGUACUCAGUCUGCAACUGGGGCAUUUUGAAUGUGGGAGCCGAGGGUGAGAGAGGAGUCAAGGACAACUCUGAGCUUGUUGGCCUUGACUUAGUAGAUGGUGAUGCCACGUAUUCACAGAGAAGGGCACUCAAAAGAGGAGGAGCAGUUUGAAGAGAGAACAAUGACACAUGAGGCAUUGUCAUAUUAAGAGUUUAAGAUUUCAGUUUUGUACUUUUAAUUUUGAUGUGACUGAAGGCCACCCAGGAGGAGAUGACUAGUUGUGAGAUGUUAACCUGCACAGAGGUUUGGAUUGGGGUCAUGGGCUGAUUGCAAGGAGUGAGUGUCAUUGCCCAAGAAUAGUGUAUAGACAGAGGGCUACAAGGAGACAACCACUAAGAGCUGAGCAAACAUCCUACAGAGGGGAGGAGAAAGAGCCACCUGGGAGAGAGGAGAGCCAGGAGAGUGUGUGUGUGGACAGGAGCCUGAUGGAAGUGUGUUGACAUGUAUGGUAUUCGGAGGUAAGAAAGGGGAGACCAGAGACGCAAGCCAUUUCAUCCUGGAAUGUGAUUGUGAAAGGAAGGCGAGAGACUGGGGCUGCUGGUAGAGGUACAAGCUCAAGGAAGAUUUUUAAAAUGUUUUUAAAGUGAAAAGCAGGUUAUUUAUUUUGCACACCUUUCUUAGAAGAGGCAUUCUAGAAUGACUGGGAUAAAUGGUAGCUUUUCUGUUAGUCUUUGAAUCAAGCCUUCACGUCUCUCUCCCCUAUACCUCCUUUAAAAUGGUGGCAUUUAAUUCUAGCUUUUGUCAAGUGGAAAUUUCCUUGGAAAUCCUUCAAAAUGGGUGGGGCUUUUAAACUAGGGGAAAUGAUGAACCUCGUCUCCCUGGUUCAUCCCGGUUUCAGAUUUUUGCAGAGUGGCAAAUCACUAGAGGGCGUACCUGUCACAUUGCCUUAGAAACGGGAUGGCUGUUGGUGAAUUCAGGGAGAGUCCAGAGGAGGGCUGAGAGGACGAGGGAAGACUUUAACACUGUGUCUUGGUGUUUAGGUCUCGAUCAAAGGUAGUGAGGCCCCAGGGAUCACCUCUUGGUUUUGGCUUUUGUGGUAGGACAUUAUUGACAAGCCGGAGGAUAACGAAGAUAUCCUCUUCCUUUUUGCCUUCAAAAAUUACUUUAUUUGCCUUCAUUGUUUUCAUUUGAUCUGAUCUGUUUCCUCUAUCGUUUCUUAAGCAAACAUUUGUUAAGCACUGCCAUGAUUAUUCAGGCACACCAGAUGCUGGUGACAUGACAGUGAACAAAACAGACAAAAAUCUUUGCCAUCAUGGAGCGUAUAUUCUAGUGUGAGACCAAAAAUAAACAAGAUAAGUUAAUUUAUAUAGUAUAUUAUAAGCUGUUAUAUGCUGUGGAGAAAGGGAGUUUCAAUCAGGCUACCUGCUUAUACAGUUUGUCCUACAUUAAGGCUAUUUGGCAAGUCAUAAGUAGGGGCUGAACCAGGGUCAGUCUGCUGGGGAGAAGGGUGCCUUUUCCUGACUAAUCAUGGUGGGGCUUCAGGAGGUGACCAAAAUAUCUGCCUUUAAAUGGGGCACUCCUUGAAAUGUCCUUUUGGCAAUAUUGAGUUCCUGAACUUUUUUUUGGAAAGGCUGACAUUUUACUUAGAGGAAAAAAAAUUUUUUUGAAGGAGGGAGGAAAUUAGGUUUAUUUAUUUAUUUAUUUAUUUAUUUAUUUAUUUAAUGGAGGUACUGGGGAUUGAACCCAGGACCACAUGCAUGCUAAGCCCACACUCAUAUCACUGAGCUAUACCUUCCCCACCAAGUUCCUGAACUUUUGAAGUCUUCACCUAAAUUUUACAAACCCCAUACUAUUACUCUAAGCCUUUUUUGUUGAUGAAAAAAAUCAGGUAUUUUAGAAUUAAGACCUUACUAAAGUCCACAGCAUUCCAUCAAUUGUAUUCACCUUAUCUACAUAACCUGUCAGCUGUCUUCGAAUAGCCAGUGGGUUUGAUGGGAUUUCUCCUUCAGAGAGUCAGGCUGAGCAUUCCUCCAUACCUGGCGUUGUUGAUAUUUUUGCAUUAAUUAUAUGACGAUUAAAUCCAAUAUCUUUUUGGGACUUCAAGUGAAGCUGAAUAGUCUAUGAUUUAUGGGGCUAUGACAUGUUUUCUUUAAAAAUGAACAUAACUUCUGCCCUUUUCAGACAUAGCACAGAUGUCCUGUCUUCCAGUAUUUCUUAGAGCUAAUGGCUUGGCAGUGUGGGCUAAUUUCUUGGGUAUUUUAAGUUGGAUGCCAAUUAGCCUUCUCUAUCUAAAACACAUUUCAACAUUUUCUUCCCAAGACAAGUCAGUCUUGACUUGUCUGCCACUCUCUUUUGGUAUAGAUGGUGCAUAUUACGUGUAUGAAAUUGCAGUAACUUGUUUAAAAAGUUAAGAUUGAGGCUUGAGAACUUCUAGUCUAUUUAGAGAGAUCAGCUAUGAAGUAUCGCAUGUAAAAAGAGGGCAACAUUUUCACUGCACUUCUUGUUUCUCCUGAUACCAUUAAUAAUGUUUUCUUUCUACUUUUUAUUUUCCUUGCAAUUUAUUAUUUUGCUUGGGCAACUGAUUUUGUCCUGUAAGCCUCUGUACUCUCAAUGAGAAUGAGACCUUGUGGUUAGUCUCAGAAUGGUAGAAAAUCCAAUUUAGAGCUGGUAGAGGAAAAGACAGAGACAGACACUGGCCUGUGCGGGUGAAGAUCAUUCUAACCACUUUGGAUAGUAAGAAAAUUAAGUGCUAAUUAGAAUUAUUGAGCCUCAUUGUCUUUUCCUAUUUAUUCUAUUUCUCUCUGCCUCUGUCUUUCUCUACCACCUUGCCAAGCAUCCUCAGUGACUCUUUUCUUGGGUUAAAGCCAGAUGCUCAGUCACUGCAAGAGUCCUUCCCAGUGAAAGC